CAACCGUUUCUGUUACAACUAAACGGAUCUUUGAAGAUGGCGCUAUAGAGGGUGGAGCGACAGACAGCCCAUAAAAGAAACCUGCCCCCUAAGGCAGUAGCGAUUUUGUGGGCCAUUACGUGAGCUCGUGGUGGAUCGUUGGCGUUGGCGUAUUGGCUGCAAGUGCCGGACUUCUUCCACCAACUUUGAGACAGCAGCAGGAGGGGACCAGACUGGAUUGCAGAAAACUUCCGAGGAGUGUGGAGUGCUGCACAAGUGACUUGUUUCAGAUUGCUAUAUAAUCCAUUUCUUUCAAACCUGUGGAGGUGUGUGUCCGAACUUGAUUUCCUCAUUGCUGUCAAUUUUCAGGUAAGGUAUACAGUGACUGGGUCAAGAUUCCUUUCUGAUAAAUGAUAGAAUUUCAUAUCAAUUAGGGAUUCAAGCUUUCAAUACAUGAGAAUACCAAACCUCAGAGUGGGGAUCUUCUAAACAAAGUUUACACUUCCGGAGUUGUCUGCUAUGGCAUAUGUUUUGGAAUAUGGUUUUUCCCUGCAGCCAUUUUAUAGUAAGCCUUAUGAUUUAUACUUCUUAAUAACAUCUGUAGAGUAAAUGCCUGCCUCAUGUAGUUUUCACUCUUGGUGCUUUGCAAAUUGCCUCUUGGAUUGCUUUGGAGUCAGACAGACCUCAGUGUAAGCCAGAUUCACCAGUAACUAACUUUCUUUUCUUUUUCCUGAGACAGAGUCUCACUCUGUUACCCAGGCUGGAGUGUAGUGGUACAAUCACAGAUCAGUGCAGCCUUGACCUUCUGGACUCAAGUGAUCCUCCCACCUCAGCCUCCUAACUGGGACUACAUGUGUGUUAUUAUGCUCAGCUAAUUUUUUAUUUUUUGUAGAACUCCUGGUGGUUCUCAAAAUCCUGGGCUCAAGUGAUCCUCCAACCUCAGCCUUUGGAGUAAGUGGGGCUACAUGUGUGUGUCACCACACUUGGCUAAUUUUUUAUUUUCUGUAGAGUGGGGUCUCACUAUGUCGCCCAGGCUAUUCUCAAACUCCUGGGCUCAAGCAGUCCUCCCACUUCCACCUCCCAAAGUGCUGAGAUUAUAAGCAUGAGCCACUGUACCUGGCCAUCAGUAAUUUUCGAUCCUUAGUUCCUAACUCUUUGGGCCUCAGUUUUCCUUAUCUGCAAAACAGGAAUCCCUCUUUGCUAUCAGGAUGUUGUAAGAAUCAAGUGUGAUAAUCUUUGUAAUGCAUCUAGUACACAAUAGGUACUCGUGAAUGAGCCCUCCAUUUCCUAAAUGCACGUAUUGGAGGGAGGACAUACAGUGCUUGGUUUAGCACCUCUCCCACCUUACUUUAUUUAUUUUCUUUCCAUUCUCAGGUACAGCAUAUUCCGCAGAGAUUAUACUGUCUUCUCUUGGGAAACCACAACCCUAUAAUCUGGCUAAGGAUCUCAGAGUUUUUCUUGCUCUGAGCUGAGUUCUGUUCUGACCACAUUACACUGAGGCUAGCAUCAUGGUUCAGCAACCAGCAGGACUCUUGUUAUCUGGGUUGGAGGGUGCCUAUUCAUUAGCAGUCCUAGAAAUUUCCUUCCUCACCUAUAAAAAGUCACAUUUGGGUUGUGAUUAGUUCAUUGAAGAUUAGGU
Callithrix jacchus (white-tufted-ear marmoset) is the source of this 1618-nucleotide non-coding RNA. Lineage: Eukaryota; Metazoa; Chordata; Mammalia; Primates; Cebidae. The record is from RefSeq and is a predicted model, not a curated record.